RNAcentral lists this microRNA (20 nucleotides) under Schmidtea mediterranea. RNAcentral's name for it is "sme-miR-753c". Its record names the gene sme-miR-753c. Lineage: Eukaryota; Metazoa; Platyhelminthes; Tricladida; Dugesiidae. The record is from miRBase by way of RNAcentral.
AAGCUUGGAUUGUGAUCUCA